Molecule: ribosomal RNA, 1933 nt
Filed under: human gut metagenome
Description: bacterial LSU rRNA
Rfam family: Bacterial large subunit ribosomal RNA
Source: RNAcentral
GCUCUUCCGAUCUCAAGUUUUCCAAGCCUAAAUACUACCCAGUGACCGAUAGUGCAGAGUACUGUGAAGGAAAGGUGAAAAGGACCCCGGGAGGGGAGUGAAAUAGAACCUGAAACCCUAAGCUUACAAGCACCGAGAGCACGUCAAAGUGUGAUCGGGUACUUUUUGUAGAACGGUCCGGCGAGCGUAUGUACGUAGCAAGGUUAAGUUCUUCAGGAACGGAGCCGAAGCGAGAGCAAGUCUGAAUAGGGCGUCAAGUUACGUGCAUAGGGCCCGAAACCGGGUGACCUAUCCAUGUCCAGGCUGAAGUUGGGGUAAGACCCAAUGGAGGGCCGAACCGACCUCCGUUGAAAAGGCGGCGGAUGAGGUGUGGAUAGCGGAGAAAUUCCAAUCGAACCCGGAGAUAGCUGGUUCUCCCCGAAAUAGCUUUAGGGCUAGCGUUGUAUAUCAUUACCGGAGGUAAAGCACUGAAUGGCCUAGGGCCCUAACGGGUACCGAAGCCUAUCAAACUAAGAAUGCCGGAUAAUGUGAGUACAGCAGUCAGACUAUGGGAGAUAAGUUUCAUGGUCAAAAGGGAAACAGCCCAGACCCACAGCUAAGGUCCCAAAUAUGAUUUAAGUGGAAAACGAUGUGGAGUUGCGAAAACAACCAGGAUGUUGGCUUAGAAGCAGCCACUCAUUCAAAGAGUGCGUAAUAGCUCACUGGUCGAGUGACUCUGCGCGGAAAAUUCAACGGGGCUAAAAUCAUAACCGAAGCUUGGGAUGCAAUUAAUGCAUGGUAGGGGAGCGUUGUGUAAGGGGUGAAGUCACAGCGGAAGCGGUGGUGGACAUUACACAAGUGAGAAUGCCGGAAUGAGUAGCGCGAAUUAUGUGAGAAUCAUAAUGGCCGAAAGUCUAAGGUUUUUGGAGGAAGGUUCGUCCGCUCCAAGUUAGUCGGGAGCUAAGGUGAGGCCGAAAGGCGUAGCCGAUGCACAUACGGUAGAAAUUCCGUAACCGUCGAAGUAUUUAAGCAAAGGGACACUUUGGGAAGGUACAAGCCAGGCGUUGGUAGCCCUGGCCGUAAGGGACUGAAAAUUAGUAGGGAAGUGUACUGGAACAGAGGCGAGAAAAGCUUUGUGUAUAUACAAGACGCCCGUACCGCAAACCGACACAGGUAGAUGGGAAGAGAAUUCUAAGGCCAACGGGAGAAGGGUUGUUAAGGAACUCGGCAAGUUGACCCCGUAACUUCGGAAUAAGGGGUGCUCAUGAAAGUGAGCCGCAGAGAAUAGGUCCAGGCAACUGUUUACCAAAAACACAGGUUUGUGCUAAAUCGAAAGAUGACGUAUACGAGCUGACGCCUGCCCGGUGCUGGAAGGUUAAAAGGAGAUGUGCAAGCAUUGAAUUGAAGCCCCAGUGAACGGCGGCCGUAACUAUAACGGUCCUAAGGUAGCGAAAUUCCUUGUCAGGUAAGUUCUGACCCGCACGAAAGGCGUAAUGAUUUGGGCACUGUCUCAACAGCCCGCCCGGCGAAAUUGUAGUACCGGUGAAGAUGCCGGUUACCCGCGACAAGACGGAAAGACCCCAUGGAGCUUUACUGUAGCCUAAUAUUGGGUUUCGAUGUUGCAUGCACAGGAUAGAUGGGACACAGGGAAACAGAAGCUUUGGCUUCUGCGGAGUGGCCGUUGGGAUACCAUCCUUGCGAUAUUGGAAUUCUAACCUGCGGCUCUGAAUCGAGUCGGGGGACAUUGUUAGGUGGGCAGUUUGACUGGGGCGGUCGCCUCCUAAAAAGUAACGGAGGCGUUCAAAGGUUCGCUCAGCUUGAACGGAAAUCAAGCAAAAGAGUGCAAACGCAGAAGCGAGCCUAACUGCGAGACUGACGGGUCGAGCAGUAACGAAAGUUGGAGUUAGUGAUCCGGUGGUAUGUGAGUGGAAAUGCCAUCGCUCAACGGAUAAAA